UUUACACAUGCAAGUCGAACGGCAGCGCGAACUUCGGUUUGGCGGCGAGUGGCGAACGGGUGAGUAAUAUAUCGGAACGUACCCAGUAGCGGGGGAUAACUACUCGAAAGAGUAGCUAAUACCGCAUACGCCCUACGGGGAAAGGGGGGGAUCGCAAGACCUCUCACUAUUGGAGCGGCCGAUAUCGGAUUAGCUAGUUGGUGGGGUAAAGGCUCACCAAGGCGACGAUCCGUAGCUGGUUUGAGAGGACGACCAGCCACACUGGGACUGAGACACGGCCCAGACUCC
Molecule: ribosomal RNA, 288 nt
Filed under: unidentified marine bacterioplankton
Lineage: Bacteria
Also listed under: 1 other name
Description: partial 16S ribosomal RNA
Rfam family: Bacterial small subunit ribosomal RNA
Source: RNAcentral